Molecule: small RNA, 578 nt
Filed under: Pan troglodytes (chimpanzee)
Lineage: Eukaryota; Metazoa; Chordata; Mammalia; Primates; Hominidae
Description: retained intron
Source: RNAcentral
UUUUCUUUUGCUGGUGUAGCUCGUCCGGUUACCUUCAGGAAGAUUGGAUAACCAAGAAAUGACUAAUCAGGAGUCUGCCGUACAUGUGAAAAUGUGUAGCAGAAACCAGCCUUCUUCGAAGUGGUCUUGGUGUGAUUCUCCUAUCCGUUAUCAAAAACUUGAAGCUGUGAUUUGCCUGAGGUAAGACAUCUUGGGUACACUGAAAUCGAAUAUUUAAUUUUUUUGGUGAAAAAAUAGUCUAUGAUAUAUAUCCUGUGUUGCUUUCACCAUAAUGGAUUGGUUAUUGAAUCAAACAUAUGCUGAUUGCUGUGCAUCUGCCAGUUAAGGCUGAGGUAAGAACAAAAAUUAGUUGUCAAGAGAUAAACUUACUAGCUGAGGUAUUUGCAAGGGAGUUACAGAAGUGAUAUUCCAAAACAGCAGUGGUCCCUAAAACUCAGCAGAAAAGCAGAGUAAAUACUACUCAUCAUCAUAUCCUUAGCAUUUAGCAAGAGUGUGUGGCACAAAGUAGACACAUGGUAAAUAUUGGUUAGGCGAGUGAAUGGGUUAAUGUAUGAAAAAAAAAAAUAGGAACCAGUGCC